RNAcentral lists this unclassified non-coding RNA (995 nucleotides) under Melitaea cinxia (Glanville fritillary). Its description in RNAcentral is "misc RNA ENSMCXG00005022480.1". Lineage: Eukaryota; Metazoa; Arthropoda; Insecta; Lepidoptera; Nymphalidae. The record is from RNAcentral.
GCCCGACCGCGCCGCCGCCGCCGCGCACGCGCUGGCGCACCGCCAGGCCGAGCGCUUCGUCUGCGGCUACGACGCCUGCAUCCUGCGCUUCUCCACCAGAAGUGAUCUGCUGGCGCAUAUUCGCAAGUGCCACGCGGGCGCCGCGCCCGAACCCGCGCCCUCUGUGCCCUCCACCACCUGCCCGCAGUGCGGCCGCACGUUCGGCUCCGUGGCUGCCAUGAAGCGACACGCAAGAGUGCACCGCAAGGAAAUCCAACAGGAAUCGGACUGGCAGAUUGACGGUGGGGUGGUGGAGACCCUCGACAUAGGGGAAGGAGAGGUUUUAGAGGGGGAUGUCGAGUACCUGGAGGUGGAGGCUCUGGACGACUUCGAUGAUGACCGACGAGACUCAGGGUACUGAUGUUCUUUCACCGUGUCAGGACUGCCUGGACCUAAAUCUGAGAAAGUGCAACUGAAAACUGCAGUUAAUAUUUUGCCUAUCAACUUGUUUCAUGAAAAAUUCUUUUAUUAUCUCAUCAUAUCAUUCUUCUAUUUCUUUCCUUAUCUCAUACAAACCAAACAAAAAUUAUAACCAGAUUUUAGAAUGGUAUAAUGUCCUAAAUCACAAUUCUAAAUAUAUACUAAAUAUUGCUGCUACUUGACGAUGUGUCAUUAAUUAAAAAUAUUCUCUGUUCUCAAUCUCAAUCAAAUUAUGAUUGACCAGACCAGUCAACCAUUCAGACAUUGACAUAUCCCGUCUUUCUUCAUUUUAUCAUCACUGAUAUUAGUGAAAACAUCUGUGCUAUCUCUGCACUUUUGAAAGCUAUCAAAUUGACAGUUAAUACAUUAUAUAUAUUAAUACACUAAGGUUGAGAUGUUUGCCUCCCUAUUUAGAAAAAACCUCACAAUUACUCCACAUAAAUUAUAUCGCUGGCCCCGGGCAAUAAAGCGGUAUACGCCUGUUACACCCUUUUUAAUGUUAUUUAAUUUUUGGCUUCUCUGAGUAUCAAUCUAUC